This 271-nucleotide ribosomal RNA is filed under the name uncultured bacterium. RNAcentral's name for it is "partial 16S ribosomal RNA". It matches the Rfam family "Bacterial small subunit ribosomal RNA", at positions 524 to 794 of the family's 1533-position model. The record is from RNAcentral.
GACGGAGGUGGCAAGCGUUGCUCGGAUUUACUGGGUGUAAAGGGCAAGUAGGCGGCUGCGUAAGUCGGGUGUGAAAGCCCACGGCUCAACCGUGGAAGGGCACCCGAACCUGCGCGGCUUGAGGACAGGAGAGGCGAACGGAAUUCCCGGUGUAAGGGUGAAAUCUGUAGAGAUCGGGAGGAACACCAGUGGCGAAGGCGGUUCGCUGGCCUGUUUCUGACGCUGAGAGGCGAAAGCUAGGGGAGCAAACAGGAUUAGAAACCCCAGUAGU